RNAcentral lists this ribosomal RNA (418 nucleotides) under Escherichia coli. Its description in RNAcentral is "bacterial SSU rRNA". It matches the Rfam family "Bacterial small subunit ribosomal RNA", at positions 1119 to 1533 of the family's 1533-position model. Lineage: Bacteria; Pseudomonadati; Pseudomonadota; Gammaproteobacteria; Enterobacterales; Enterobacteriaceae. The record is from RNAcentral.
CAUCAUUUAGUUGGGCACUCUAAGGUGACUGCCGGUGACAAACCGGAGGAAGGUGGGGAUGACGUCAAAUCAUCAUGCCCCUUAUGACCUGGGCUACACACGUGCUACAAUGGACGAUACAAACGGUUGCCAACUCGCGAGAGGGAGCUAAUCCGAUAAAGUCGUUCUCAGUUCGGAUUGUAGGCUGCAACUCGCCUACAUGAAGCCGGAAUCGCUAGUAAUCGCGGAUCAGCAUGCCGCGGUGAAUACGUUCCCGGGCCUUGUACACACCGCCCGUCACACCACGAGAGUUUGUAACACCCGAAGUCGGUGAGGUAACCUUUUGGAGCCAGCCGCCGAAGGUGGGAUAGAUGAUUGGGGUGAAGUCGUAACAAGGUAGCCGUAUCGGAAGGUGCGGCUGGAUCACCUCCUUUCUAAG